This 89-nucleotide transfer RNA is filed under the name Burkholderia vietnamiensis. RNAcentral describes it as "tRNA-Arg". The record is from RNAcentral. Lineage: Bacteria; Pseudomonadati; Pseudomonadota; Betaproteobacteria; Burkholderiales; Burkholderiaceae.
AGCGUCGUUGCGCGGUUUCCUGCGCGCUGCGUUCCGGCCGCUGAUCGGGCCGCCGUUCGGCGCGCGCGUGCAGCGCCGCGUCGUCGCGA